CAGAAAAGGAGCUUGCUCCUUUGACGUUAGCGGCGGACGGGUGAGUAACACGUGGGCAACCUACCCUAUAGUUUGGGAUAACUCCGGGAAACCGGGGCUAAUACCGAAUAAUCUCUUUUACUUCAUGGUGAAAGACUGAAAGACGGCAUCUCGCUGUCGCUAUAGGAUGGGCCCGCGGCGCAUUAGCUAGUUGGUGAGGUAACGGCUCACCAAGGCGACGAUGCGUAGCCGACCUGAGAGGGUGAUCGGCCACACUGGGACUGAGACACGGCCCAGACUCCUACGGGAGGCAGCAGUAGGGAAUCUUCCACAAUGGGCGAAAGCCUGAUGGAGCAACGCCGCGUGAGUGAAGAAGGUUUUCGGAUCGUAAAACUCUGUUGUAAGGGAAGAACAAGUACAGUAGUAACUGGCUGUACCUUGACGGUACCUUAUUAGAAAGCCACGGCUAACUACGUGCCAGCAGCCGCGGUAAUACGUAGGUGGCAAGCGUUGUCCGGAAUUAUUGGGCGUAAAGCGCGCGCAGGCGGUCCUUUAAGUCUGAUGUGAAAGCCCACGGCUCAACCGUGGAGGGUCAUUGGAAACUGGGGGACUUGAGUGCAGAAGAGGAAAGUGGAAUUCCAAGUGUAGCGGUGAAAUGCGUAGAGAUUUGGAGGAACACCAGUGGCGAAGGCGACUUUCUGGUCUGUAACUGACGCUGAGGCGCGAAAGCGUGGGGGAGCAAACAGGAUUAGAUACCCUGGUAGUCCACGCCGUAAACGAUGAGUGCUAAGUGUUAGGGGGUUUCCGCCCCUUAGUGCUGCAGCUAACGCAUUAAGCACUCCGCCUGGGGAGUACGGUCGCAAGACUGAAACUCAAAGGAAUUGACGGGGGCCCGCACAAGCGGU
RNAcentral lists this ribosomal RNA (884 nucleotides) under Lysinibacillus sp. RNAcentral describes it as "bacterial SSU rRNA". It matches the Rfam family "Bacterial small subunit ribosomal RNA", at positions 70 to 933 of the family's 1533-position model. The record is from RNAcentral. Lineage: Bacteria; Bacillati; Bacillota; Bacilli; Caryophanales; Bacillaceae.